RNAcentral lists this long non-coding RNA (215 nucleotides) under Elaeis guineensis (African oil palm). RNAcentral describes it as "long non-coding RNA (EGUI_LNC074232)". The record is from RNAcentral. Lineage: Eukaryota; Viridiplantae; Streptophyta; Magnoliopsida; Arecales; Arecaceae.
ACCUUCUCAUCAAUGACUAGCUCGAUGCUGCAGUUGUGUGUCUAGUUCUUUGACCUGAGGUGCAUCGACAGUUCACCUUGAGUGUGUUAUAGUUUGACUACAACAUAACUCGAUCUUCUAGCCAUUCAAAACCCUGAGGUAUAUGUUGGCUGUAGCAUAUUCAUUGUAGGAACCAGAUUGCACCAAGAUAGGAUCUAUCAAUCUCGGUAGAUAAG